RNAcentral lists this small RNA (28 nucleotides) under Bombyx mori (domestic silkworm). RNAcentral's name for it is "ovarian small RNA-35882". The record is from RNAcentral. Lineage: Eukaryota; Metazoa; Arthropoda; Insecta; Lepidoptera; Bombycidae.
UGUGAGCUGGUAGAAGUCCAUGACUUGC